This 2118-nucleotide ribosomal RNA is filed under the name Triticum aestivum (bread wheat). RNAcentral describes it as "partial small subunit ribosomal RNA". Lineage: Eukaryota; Viridiplantae; Streptophyta; Magnoliopsida; Poales; Poaceae. The record is from RNAcentral.
AUGCUCUCGCUCUCGGCUCCUUCCUCGCCCCCGCCCUCGCCUCCUACCCGCAGCACCACCACCGCUCCCACCGCCGUCGGCCUCCUUCGUGGGGCCGCGGGGCGGCGCGACGCGCCGCUCACCACCGCGCUCCACGCCGUCCUCCUCAAGUCCGGCGCGCUCCACUCUUUCCAGCCCCUUGUCGCGUCCAACUCCCUCCUCCACGCCUACCUCCAAUGCGGCCUCCACUCCCACGCGCUCAACCUGCUCGACGAAACGCCGCGCCGUGACGCCGCCACCUACUCCACCCUCAUCUCGCUCCAUUGUCGCCUCGGCGCGCCCCUGGACGCCGUCCGCGCCUUCGUGGACAUGCUGCUGGCCCACGCCGCAGACGAGGACGACGCCGCCGCCGUCCGUGCCAACGAGUUCACGAUGGCCGCGCUCCUGCAGGCCUGUGGCCUCGCCAAGGAUGGGAGGCUGGGGAGGAUGGUGCAUGGCUACCUCGUGACAAAUGGCUUCUGCGCCGACCCCUUUGUGGUCGGCUCGUUGGUCAAUAUGUACGCCAAGGUUGGGGAUGUGGUCAGCGCGCGGAGGCUGGUUCUCAGAUUGGCUUUCAGGGAUGUUGUUUCCUGGACUGCUGUUAUAUCAGGGUGCGUGCUCAACGGGAUGCUAGGAGAGGCUCUCGAUGUGUUUGUCAUGAUGCUGGAAGAUGGUGUCCUUCCCAACAAUGUUACAAUGUUGAGUGUCAUUCAGGCAUGCUCUUUGAUGGGCCACUCAGGGUUGUUCAGUCCGGUGCACGCUCUUGUUACUCGGGUGGGCCUCGAGGACGAUGUUUCGGUGGUGAAUUCUCUCAUCAUGAUGUAUGCAAAGAAUGGCUUUAUCGAAGAGGCUGCACGGCUUUACGAGGAUCUGUACCUCAGGAGAGGGACUGUGUGCUCUAAUGCUGAUGUUCUUGGCGCGCUUCUUUAUGGUUGCACGGUCUCAGCAUCCCUGCUUUAUGGGAGAGAAAUCCAUGCACACUUGAUUAAACUGAGUGCUCUUCCAAACAUCAGCAUUAAAAACUGCCUCAUGGGCAUGUAUGCUAGAUUCGAGCGAGUUGACGCAACGUAUUUGGUGUUUAAAGGCAUGAAAGUUAAAGAUAUUGUUUCGUGGAACACCAUGAUCUCAUGCCUUGCCAAGAGUGACCAUGUAAAUGAAGCCUUGGACCUUUUCAGCACUCUCCAUAGUGGUGGUAGUGGGCUUGUGCCUGAUUUCGUCACGGUCUUGAGCGUAGUUCAGGCAUGCUCCAAUGCUGGAUUACUUCUACAAGGGCAGAUGCUCCAUGGAUACAUUGUAAAAUAUGGUUUUGUGCACGAUGUGUCGAUCUCCAAUGCUCUAAUAAUCAUGUAUGCUAAGUUAGGAAGAAUCGAUUUCGCUGAGAAGAUCUUCGGGCGGAUGGAUGUUAAGGACCUUGUUUCCUGGAAUUCGAUGAUUAAUGCUUAUGGGAUACACGGAGAUGGGCAGUCAGCUCUAAAGUAUUUCCACCAGCUGACAGAUGUUGGAGCACAUGCUCCUAAUGCUAUCACGUUUUUGAAUGUGAUAUCUGCUUGCAGUCACUCUGGUUUGAUUUCAGAAGGAUACAAGUGCUUUGAAAGCAUGAGAAGGGACCAUGGAAUUGAGCCUUGCAUGGAUCAUUAUGCUUGUGUAGUGGAUCUGUUUGGAAGGUCUGGGAGAUUUUCUGAGGCAGAAGAAUUUAUCAGGGAUAUGCCUGUUCCUCCCAACUCUUCCAUUUGGGGACCCUUGCUGGCUGGUUGCCGACUUCAUGGGAAUGUUGAUCUUGCAGAAAAGGCUGCUAAAGAACUACUAGCCUUGGAACCUGACAGUGAUAUAUGGAGAGUCUCCUUGUCAAAUAUCUAUGCAUCGGCUGGGAGAUGGAAAGACUCUGCAAAGAUUAGGACUGAAAUGAAGAGAGUCGGUUUGAGAAAGGAGACUGGUUGGAGCUUUGUAGAUGUAGGAGGGGUUGAGGGUUUUAAGUUUGUGUCGGCGGAUUCAAGGCAUCCUGACGCUGAAAAAAUGUAUGCAGUAUGGCACAGUAUGAACAAGCACAUGACAGAUGUAGCUGGUGAUGUGCAUCAACUGAGUCUGGUGAGUGUAAAUUAG